CAGGCAGUACCAACAGCUGGAAUAGAAUAGAAUAGAAUCACAACAAAUAUCAUUCAAUUUGUUCGAAUGAAAUGAUAACACGGCGCCAUUGGCCACGGGUUACAGACGCGGAUUGGGUUGAGUUUACCAAACGGGUCGAAAAGAGGAAUUACAUGUAGUAGUGCCGAUAAAUGUGCGGCGUAAUCAUCAUAGAGUGGUCAUUCGUUGAUCGGUGGAUUGAAUUGAAAUUAAAUUAAAUUUAAAUCAAAUCAACCGACGCGUCUGCGUGGCGCCGCGUGGGAGCGUGCGCGUCUCAGUGCAGGUAGUAGGCGACGAGGGAGACGAGGAGCGCGGCGGCGCCGGGCGCGCCGGCGAUGGCGCCGCUGGUGGCCGGGGCUCCGGCGGCUGCUCCGGCAGUCGCGCCGGCGGCCGCGCCGGUCGCGCCGGGGGACUCGGCCGGCGCCUCGGCGGCCGGGGUGGUCGCCGCGACCAGGGAGGCGGAGGCCACCAGGGCGAUCAGCACGGCGCAGGCGAUCUUCUUCAUCUCCAUGGCUUCUGCCUCUCUCUCCUCGCGGGUACGGUACGGUUGCACGGGGCCUGCGCAAAAGAAACAAACAGCAAGCGGCUAGGCGGUCGAGGAGGAGGGGGAGAGGUCGGCCGGCGAGGCGCGGUUUAUUCCGGUGGUGGGAGCGGGGCGGGGGGAGGGCGGCUCGGUCGCUCUCUGCAAGGCCUGGGAGAGGGUGGGGUGGCGCGGCGCCGCGUUUUGUAGGGCGCGCGAGCGGCCAUGAGAGGGCCUCGCCUGCCCGUCGGUUGCCGCCCUGCCCAAAUUAGCUUCCGUACGGAUGGCCAUUAGCGCGCGGCGGGAGCAUGCGGACGACAUUGCCUUAC
RNAcentral lists this long non-coding RNA (867 nucleotides) under Triticum aestivum (bread wheat). Its description in RNAcentral is "long non-coding RNA (TAES_LNC011687)". Lineage: Eukaryota; Viridiplantae; Streptophyta; Magnoliopsida; Poales; Poaceae. The record is from RNAcentral.